AGUAACCUGCCUUGGAGCGGGGAAUAACAGCUGGAAACAGCUGCUAAUACCGCAUAAUAUAUCUGGGUCGCAUGGCUCUGGAUAUCAAAGAUUUAUCGCUCUGAGAUGGACUCGCGUCUGAUUAGCUAGUUGGUGGGGCAACGGCCCACCAAGGCGACGAUCAGUAGCCGGACUGAGAGGUUGGCCGGCCACAUUGGGACUGAGACACGGCCCAGACUCCUACGGGAGGCAGCAG
Molecule: ribosomal RNA, 235 nt
Filed under: uncultured bacterium
Lineage: Bacteria
Description: partial 16S ribosomal RNA
Rfam family: Bacterial small subunit ribosomal RNA
Source: RNAcentral